This 468-nucleotide ribosomal RNA is filed under the name uncultured soil bacterium. RNAcentral's name for it is "bacterial SSU rRNA". It matches the Rfam family "Bacterial small subunit ribosomal RNA", at positions 26 to 497 of the family's 1533-position model. The record is from RNAcentral.
AGGACGAACGCUGGCGGCGUGCUUAACACAUGCAAGUCACGGGGGCCCAGCAAUGGGCAACCGGCGAACGGGUGCGUAACACGUGAGUGACCUGCCGAUUUGUGGGGGAUAGCCGGGCCAACGCCCGGGUAAUACCGCAUACGCUCUUCUUGGGGCAUCUCUAGAAGAGGAAACCUCCGGGGCAAAUCGAGGGACUCGCGGCCUAUCAGCUAGUUGGCGAGGUAACGGCUCGACCAAGGCUACGACGGUAGCUGGUCUGAGAGGACUGGCCAGCCACAUUGGGACUGAGAUACGGCCCAGACUCCACGGGAGCAGCAGUGGGGAAUAGUGCGCAAUGGCCUAAGGCUGACGCAGCGACGCCGACGUGUCGGGAUGACCGCCCGUUCGGGUAGUAAACCACGUGUUGGCUCGAGACGAAUAGCAGCUUUAGGCUCGGCCUGACGGUAUCGAAGUCGAGGAAGCGACCGC